Anolis carolinensis (green anole) is the source of this 1130-nucleotide long non-coding RNA. RefSeq lists it as uncharacterized. The transcript has 2 exons. The record is from RefSeq and is a predicted model, not a curated record. Lineage: Eukaryota; Metazoa; Chordata; Lepidosauria; Squamata; Anolidae.
AUAUGUGAUUACUUAAUAAACUGUUUUGACUUUCACAUUUGGUUUCUUGGUGGGUGCUGUGAGCAAGGUGAAACCUUGUUGAGGUGCAACAGUUGGGUUCUUGUACAACCCACCUGUGAUAUCUCUAACAUUUGAUGAACUCCUGCCAUCAACAAUACUGCCUCCCACUAAGAAUUCAGUUUAAAGCUAUCCUGAUCUGGUUUGUGAGACUUUUGGCAAAAGGGUUUCUGUUAAUGGCCAUAAGGUACAAUCCAUUACUUGCCAGAAAUCCAUCUUUUUGAAACUGCAUGAAGUCACAUUGUUCCCAUCAGCAACAUUUGCAGAACCACUUGUUCACCUCUACCAUUCUUAUCUCCUUUCCUGACCAUGCCCUUCAACUGGGAAGACGGGCAAAAUGACAACCUGUGCAUCCAAGUUCUUCAGCUUCCUAUCCAGAACCUUGGAAUCCCUUGUGAUAUCCUGAAGGCUAUAACUUGCAGUAUCAUUGGUUUCCCUGUGGACCAAAACAAAGAGGGCUUGACAAGCCUUGUCAGACCCCAAGUUAAAUCAAUUGUUUUUGUCCUAAGGAGACAGCAAUCAAGUCCAGCUGAGCAUACAUAUUACUUCCUUUAUCUGCAGAUUAUGUUGCAAAGAGAAACUACUCAGUCUAAUUUUUUUGGCCACUCCAUUCUUAAGAAAACAAGAACGAACGGAUAUAGUUAUAGAUGUUUUCUUUUCUGUCUUAAGAGCCAUUUCAUAGGAAUCACAAUAAAAAUACUGAUUAUAUUUCAAAAGAUUUACGCAACAACAUCAUAGACUCAGUUGGGCGGGACACCACAAACCUCCUAUAUAUAACAAACCUUAAUCAGUGAAAAGCUAGACCACUACACAACAUCAUCUCCACCAUGAAGCUGACAGUUGUCUUUCUGCUGGUCACCCUGAUGGUGUGCUGCUAUUCAGAUACUGUUGUAGAGGUUUGUCCUCCUAUUGAGGUCGUCCUCAACAAGUUCUUUUUUAGCUCAAUGACUGACUACAUGAAAAUGAUGGCUCCUUUUGCAACUAGUCCUGAAAUGACUGAAGCAGCUUCACGGUUGAAGCAAUGUACCCUUGAAGCUACACAGGAAGAGCUGCUGGCAAAAGAACAACUGCUG